Long non-coding RNA from Dama dama (fallow deer), 1066 nucleotides. RefSeq lists it as uncharacterized. The transcript has 3 exons. The record is from RefSeq and is a predicted model, not a curated record. NCBI's taxonomy places the organism in Eukaryota, Metazoa, Chordata, Mammalia, Artiodactyla, Cervidae.
UUAUUCGUUUUUAUAAUUUAGGAUAUUGAUCUUUUUACAGAUUGGUUCACCAGGUUCACAGGACUUUCUAUGUAUUAUGGAUAUUAACCCCUUGUGUCUAUGAUGUAUUUUCCCCAGUGUUUGGAGUUGCUAUAUAUGUAAAUGAAGCUGAUGAAGGUCUGGGUCGUUAAGAAAAGGUACAGUGUGAGGAGAGGCCGGCCCUUUUGGUGACCAGGAACAGCAACAUCGAAUGGAAACAGUUACUACAAAGAAGCUGGUGCUUCAGAAGGAAGAGCAGCUGGAAUGAGUGUCACAAGCAAGCGUUUUUACAAGGAUCUAAUGAGAUGAAGCAGGUGAAGUCCUUGGUGAACCACUCAGCGCUGUGCACACCAGAGGUUGUGCCAGCUUUUGGACUUCUUAUAAGCGAGAGAGAAGUAAACUUUCUUGUUUAAACUGUUGUUUUGGGUUUUCUGUUACCUGAGGCCAAAGAGAAUUCCAAUUUGAUCAGGGUGUGUCUAUUGAGGUUUUAAGAAAAUAUCUUUUAGAAUCCUUCUAUGCUUUUUUCCAAAAACGUCUGGCAUAGUUUUUGUGUAGCACACUUUUAGGUUCUUUUCAGUUUUACUGUGCAUUGGUAGCUUACAGUACUGAAUGUACGCCUAGCUGUUUUUCUCAUUCAUUCACGGUUUUUGAGCUGGUCCCGGUUAAUGGAUAUAGAUCCUACUUGCUUCUUGAAUUGCUGCAUAGUUUUCCUUUUUAUGGAUGUAAUGUAUUUUACUCAUCAUUUUGCUACAGACAGAAAUUUAAACUGUUUCAUAGCUUCCAAUUUAGCAAGCAUUGCCAAAUUUUUCCCCAGAGAGAGGUACCAUUAUAUAUACUUUUGCAAGAAAGUAUGAGUGUUCUCCUUUCCCUACAUCUUGCCAACACAUCGUAUUAUGAGAUUUCUUAUUUAUGGCCAACCUGAUUUUAAAAAGAUGAUUCCUAGUAGUUACAAUUUUCACCCAAUAACUAAUAUUAGUUUGAGUAUCCUUCCCUCUAUUUGUUGACCAUUUAGGUUUUAACUUUUGUCUAUUUUCUGUUCAUUUCAUUU